GUACUAUCCAAAAUUCUCAAUUUAGACCUGAUUUCACAGUACUAUCCAAAAUUCUCAAUUUAGACAUGAUUUCAUAGUACUAUCCAAAAUUCUCAAUUUAGACAUGAUUUCAUAGUACUAUCCAAAAUUCUCAAUUUAGACAUGAUUUCAUAGUACUAUCCAAAAUUCUCAAUUUAGACAUGAUUUCAUAGUACUAUCCAAAAUUCUCAAUUUAGACAUGAUUUCAUAGUACUAUCCAAAAUUCUCAAUUUAGACAUGAUUUCAUAGUACUAU
This is a long non-coding RNA of Leptidea sinapis, 273 nucleotides long. RefSeq lists it as uncharacterized. The transcript has 3 exons. The record is from RefSeq and is a predicted model, not a curated record. Lineage: Eukaryota; Metazoa; Arthropoda; Insecta; Lepidoptera; Pieridae.